CAGAUCUUCACCUCCACCAUGCUGUCCAGUACCUGAGAGCCCCUAGACUAAGGUCAAGACAUUGAGGUCCAGGAUGUUGUUUUAGGGUGUUUUGGGCAGAUGCUGGUGCCCUUGGACACACAAACACAACACACAGUCGUUGUUUGUCCAGUGUCGGUCGGGAGGUGAACUUGAGAGAGCAUCUCUGUUUUUGGACUUCCUUUGUCUUGUGGCCUUUGACCUGACACACACACACAGAGACACACACGUGGUGUCCAGCACUCACUUGGUUCCUGUGGAAUGUCGGGACUGUGAGGGGGGGGGGGGGGGUAU
Salvelinus sp. IW2-2015 is the source of this 312-nucleotide non-coding RNA. Lineage: Eukaryota; Metazoa; Chordata; Actinopteri; Salmoniformes; Salmonidae. The record is from RefSeq and is a predicted model, not a curated record.